Molecule: long non-coding RNA, 684 nt
Organism: Hibiscus syriacus
Lineage: Eukaryota; Viridiplantae; Streptophyta; Magnoliopsida; Malvales; Malvaceae
Exons: 2
Source: RefSeq, a predicted model, not a curated record
ACCAAAACAAUAGCAUAAGGUACUUGCAAAUAUCAAACUAAGAGAGACAUGCUGCUCCAAGCAAGGUUGGUCCUGCAAUAUCUACAGAGGUGUAUCUGAACAAUCAAACCGAUCAAGAUUUUAGCACGUUCGACAAGAAAGAUUGGUAUGGAUCCGGAAAUCAGCUAAAUGUUCCGGCGCAUCAGACACGGUAUUUUCAACACUUGGCUGAUUCCAAUGUCGGAUCCUCCAUAGGCGGAACUGUGUUUGUUAUCAAACAAAACAUUAAGUGGGUUGUUGCCUGGAGGAAUGGGGUAAAUGAAGUGAAUAAGGUCUAUACUGAGAUUACUACUGACAGCCCUAUUAAUUGGGACAACAUCAAUGUACAACUGAAAAAGGCUACCAACAGUGCUGCAGCGAGUAAUCUCGGAUUCAAGUCGAGUCUUGAAAUUGAUCCAACCAGCGUUAAGCCAAACCUGGAUGCAAAACUCGAGGAAGCUUGAUCUCCUUCUGUCUUGGUUAAAAAUGAUGCUUUGUAUGCACUACUAAUAUCAAAAUAAGGGAAGUUGGGUAAUAAAUGACUUGUGUUCAAGUCUUCCUCCAACAACCCCUUCCCCUUUAAUAAGUCUUUCAAUGUCUAAUGUAAUUUAAGUCAUGUAUGGUGCUUUUUUAUAUGCAUAAUAGAGAGGUCUUUUUAUUAUGUCA